Non-coding RNA from Alternaria hordeiaustralica, 79 nucleotides. Lineage: Eukaryota; Fungi; Ascomycota; Dothideomycetes; Pleosporales; Pleosporaceae. The record is from the annotation of a RefSeq genome assembly.
UCCCAUAUAGUCUAUCGGCUAGGAUAUCUCGCUUUCAUAGAGCACCGAGAAGAGCCGGGUUCGACUCCCGGUGUGGGAA